CACGGAGGGGGCAAGCGUUGUUCGGAAUUACUGGGCGUAAAGGGCGCGUAGGCGGCCUGGUGCGUCAGGUGUGAAAGCCCCGGGCUCAACCUGGGAUGUGCACUUGAUACGGGCGGGCUGGAAUCCGGGAGAGGAUGGUGGAAUUCCCAGUGUAGAGGUGAAAUUCGUAGAUAUUGGGAAGAACACCGAUGGCGAAGGCAGCGAUCUGGACCGGCAUUGACGCUGAGGCGCGAAAGCGUGGGGAGCAAACAGG
RNAcentral lists this ribosomal RNA (253 nucleotides) under uncultured bacterium. RNAcentral's name for it is "partial 16S ribosomal RNA". It matches the Rfam family "Bacterial small subunit ribosomal RNA", at positions 524 to 776 of the family's 1533-position model. The record is from RNAcentral.